RNAcentral lists this ribosomal RNA (425 nucleotides) under uncultured bacterium. RNAcentral describes it as "partial 16S ribosomal RNA". It matches the Rfam family "Bacterial small subunit ribosomal RNA", at positions 354 to 796 of the family's 1533-position model. The record is from RNAcentral.
GUGGGGAAUCUUAGACAAUGGGGGCAACCCUGAUCUAGCCAUGCCGCGUGAGUGAUGAAGGCCUUAGGGUCGUAAAGCUCUUUCGCUGGGGAAGAUAAUGACGGUACCCAGUAAAGAAACCCCGGCUAACUCCGUGCCAGCAGCCGCGGUAAUACGGAGGGGGUUAGCGUUGUUCGGAAUUACUGGGCGUAAAGCGCGCGUAGGCGGAUUGGAAAGUUGGGGGUGAAAUCCCGGGGCUCAACCCUGGAAUGGCCUUCAAAACUCCCAGUCUUGAGGUCGAGAGAGGUGAGUGGAAUUCCGGGUGCAGAGGUGAAAUUCGUAGAUAUUCGGAGGAACACCAGUGGCGAAGGCGGCUCACUGGCUCGAUACUGACGCUGAGGUGCGAAAGCGUGGGGAGCAAACAGGAUUAGAAACCCCAGUAGUCC